RNAcentral lists this transfer RNA (72 nucleotides) under Fukomys damarensis (Damara mole-rat). It matches the Rfam family "tRNA". From Rfam's summary of the family: Transfer RNA (tRNA) molecules are approximately 80 nucleotides in length. Their secondary structure includes four short double-helical elements and three loops (D, anti-codon, and T loops). The record is from Rfam by way of RNAcentral. Lineage: Eukaryota; Metazoa; Chordata; Mammalia; Rodentia; Bathyergidae.
GGGGAUGUAGCUCAGCGGCACAGUACCUGCCUGGCAAGUGUGAGGUCCUGAGUUGGAUCCCCAGUACCCCCA